RNAcentral lists this long non-coding RNA (247 nucleotides) under Eutrema salsugineum. RNAcentral's name for it is "long non-coding RNA (ESAL_LNC001658)". The record is from RNAcentral. Lineage: Eukaryota; Viridiplantae; Streptophyta; Magnoliopsida; Brassicales; Brassicaceae.
UAAGCCUAAUCAAUGCCGAACGGCUCUCGGUGUCGCCGCCGCCACCACCGUAGCUCCUCCUCCUCCUCCUCCUCCGCCUCUAUUAACAGUCGUGUUCCUGAAUACUUCAGUAAACGAUGGCCUCGGCGACGACGAAAGAGACUUCGAAACUCUCGGAGACGAGACUGAUUCUCUCUGCGACGGACUUCGCCAGAAUCCGGCGCCGUAAAACCUAUUCCACAUCUCUUUCUCUAAUGCCAACACAGCC